RNAcentral lists this ribosomal RNA (171 nucleotides) under uncultured bacterium. RNAcentral describes it as "partial 16S ribosomal RNA". It matches the Rfam family "Bacterial small subunit ribosomal RNA", at positions 356 to 518 of the family's 1533-position model. The record is from RNAcentral.
GGGGAAUAUUGGACAAUGGGCGAAAGCCUGAUCCAGCCAUGCCGCGUGUGUGAAGAAGGCCUUUUGGUUGUAAAGCACUUUAAGCGAGGAGGAGGAGCUUCAGGUUAAUACCCUGGAUGCUUGGACGUUACUCGCAGAAUAAGCACCGGCUAACUCUGUGCCAGCAGCCGC